This 481-nucleotide ribosomal RNA is filed under the name uncultured bacterium. RNAcentral's name for it is "bacterial SSU rRNA". It matches the Rfam family "Bacterial small subunit ribosomal RNA", at positions 28 to 523 of the family's 1533-position model. The record is from RNAcentral.
GAUAAAUGCUGGCGGCGUGUCUAAGGCAUGCAAGUCGCACGAACCCAUUUGAGAUUAUAUCAAUGAUGGGUGAGUGGCAGACGGGAGCGUAACACAUUGGUAACCUACCCCAGAGACGCGAACAACUCACCGAAAGGUGAGCUAAUACGCGAUAUUGUCCAAACAGUAUGUGUUUGGAUGAAAGCUUCGGCGCUCUGGGAGGGGCCUAUGCCCCAUCAGCUUGUUGGCGAGGUAAUGGCUCACCAAGGCUAUGACGGGUAGGGGACGUGAGAGCGUGAUCCCCCUCACUGGGACUGAGACACUGCCCAGACACCUACGGGUGGCUGCAGUCGAGAAUCUUCCUCAAUGGCCGAAAGGCUGAAGGAGCGACGCCGCGUGCGGGAUGAAGGCCUUCGGUCGUAAACCGCUUUUUAGGUACGAACAAAUGACGGUACCUAAAGAAUAAGAAGGUUGCUAACUACUGUGCCAGCAGCCGCGGUAA